CCUACGGGUGGCAGCAGUGGGGAAUAUUGGACAAUGGGGGCAACCCUGAUCCAGCCAUGCCGCGUGUGUGAAGAAGGCCCUCGGGUUGUAAAGCACUUUCAGUGAGGAAGAACGCCUGGUGGUUAAUACCCAUCAGGAAAGACAUCACUCACAGAAGAAGCACCGGCUAACUCCGUGCCAGCAGCCGCGGUAAUACGGAGGGUGCGAGCGUUAAUCGGAAUUACUGGGCGUAAAGCGCGCGUAGGUGGCUUGAUAAGCCGGUUGUGAAAGCCCCGGGCUCAACCUGGGAACGGCAUCCGGAACUGUCAAGCUAGAGUGCAGGAGAGGAUGGUAGAAUUCCCGGUGUAGCGGUGAAAUGCGUAGAGAUCGGGAGGAAUACCAGUGGCGAAGGCGGCCUUCUGGACUGACACUGACACUGAGGUGCGAAAGCGUGGGUAGCAAACAGGAUUAGAUACCCUAGUAGUC
RNAcentral lists this ribosomal RNA (465 nucleotides) under Vreelandella stevensii. RNAcentral describes it as "partial 16S ribosomal RNA". It matches the Rfam family "Bacterial small subunit ribosomal RNA", at positions 338 to 795 of the family's 1533-position model. Lineage: Bacteria; Pseudomonadati; Pseudomonadota; Gammaproteobacteria; Oceanospirillales; Halomonadaceae. The record is from RNAcentral.